RNAcentral lists this transfer RNA (65 nucleotides) under Theopropus elegans. RNAcentral's name for it is "tRNA-Pro". It matches the Rfam family "tRNA". From Rfam's summary of the family: Transfer RNA (tRNA) molecules are approximately 80 nucleotides in length. Their secondary structure includes four short double-helical elements and three loops (D, anti-codon, and T loops). The record is from RNAcentral. Lineage: Eukaryota; Metazoa; Arthropoda; Insecta; Mantodea; Hymenopodidae.
CAAAGGGUAGUUUAAUAACAAAAUAUUAGUUUUGGAAAUUAAUGAUAAGAAUUUCUUUCCUUUGA